AUGAACGCUGGCGGCGUGCCUAAUACAUGCAAGUCGAGCGAACGGACGAGAAGCUUGCUUCUCUGAUGUUAGCGGCGGACGGGUGAGUAACACGUGGAUAACCUACCUAUAAGACUGGGAUAACUUCGGGAAACCGGAGCUAAUACCGGAUAAUAUUUUGAACCGCAUGGUUCAAAAGUGAAAGACGGUCUUGCUGUCACUUAUAGAUGGAUCCGCGCUGCAUUAGCUAGUUGGUAAGGUAACGGCUUACCAAGGCAACGAUGCAUAGCCGACCUGAGAGGGUGAUCGGCCACACUGGAACUGAGACACGGUCCAGACUCCUACGGGAGGCAGCAGUAGGGAAUCUUCCGCAAUGGGCGAAAGCCUGACGGAGCAACGCCGCGUGAGUGAUGAAGGUCUUCGGAUCGUAAAACUCUGUUAUUAGGGAAGAACAUAUGUGUGAGUAACUGUGCAUAUCUUGACGGUACCUAAUCAGAAAGCCACGGCUAACUACGUG
RNAcentral lists this ribosomal RNA (496 nucleotides) under uncultured bacterium. Its description in RNAcentral is "partial 16S ribosomal RNA". It matches the Rfam family "Bacterial small subunit ribosomal RNA", at positions 29 to 507 of the family's 1533-position model. The record is from RNAcentral.